GUGCUCACUUCGGCAGCACACAUACUAAAAUUGGAACAAUACAAAGAAGAUUAGCAUGGACCCUGCACCAAGAUGAUGCACAAAUUUGUGAAGCAUUCCAUAUUUGU
Molecule: small nuclear RNA, 107 nt
Organism: Leopardus geoffroyi (Geoffroy's cat)
Lineage: Eukaryota; Metazoa; Chordata; Mammalia; Carnivora; Felidae
Source: RefSeq, a predicted model, not a curated record